GCGAGGGCUGUCGCUGACUUUUUGAAACACAAAAGUCGUGCACGCCGGAGCGUGUCCUCUCACAAUAAAAUCCAUCUCACCCUUUUGUGCACCACCGCGUGGGCACCUUUUGGGAUCGAACCGAUCCUGGAGGGGGCUUGCGUUUUCACACAAACCCCUUUUAAAAAGUGUAGAAUGACCCCAUUUUGCGAUGACACGCAAUCAAUACAACUUUCAACAACGGAUCUCUUGGCUCUCGCAUCGAUGAAGAACGCAGCGAAAUGCGAUACGUAAUGUGAAUUGCAGAAUUCAGUGAAUCAUCGAAUCUUUGAACGCACCUUGCGCCCCUUGGUAUUCCGAGGGGCACACCCGUUUGAGUGUCGUGAAAAUCUCAACCUUCUCGGUUUUCUUCUGGACACCGAAGGAGGCUUGGACUUUGGAGGCCUUUGCUGGCAUCUCUCUCUUUUUGAGAGCCAGCUCCUCUUAAACGAAUUAGCGGGGUCCUCUUUGCCGAUCCUCGACAUGUGAUAAGAUGUUUCCAUGACUUGGUUUCUGGCUCUGUUGCCUUUGGGACCCGCUUCUAACCGUCUCGACGAGACAACGUUUGGGCGUGUCUCCCUUCUCGGGAGACUCUCUCGACCCCACGAACCCUUGACCUCAAAUCGGGUGAGACUACCCGCUGAACUUAAGCAUAUCAAUAAGCGGAGGAAAAGAAACUAACAAGGAUUCCCCUAGUAACUGCGAGUGAAGCGGGAAAAGCUCAAAUUUAAAAUCUGGCGGUCUCUGGCCGUCCGAGUUGUAAUUUAGAGAAGCGUCUUCCGCGCCGGACCGUGCACAAGUCUCCUGGAAUGGAGCGUCAUAGAGGGUGAGAAUCCCGUCUUUGGCACGGAUGCCUGUGCUUCUGCGAUGCGCUCUCAAAGAGUCGAGUUGUUUGGGAAUGCAGCUCAAAAUGGGUGGUGAACUCCAUCUAAAGCUAAAUAUUGGCGAGAGANCGAUAGCGAAC
RNAcentral lists this ribosomal RNA (982 nucleotides) under uncultured Lactarius. Its description in RNAcentral is "eukaryotic LSU rRNA". The stretch from base 632 to 982 matches the Rfam family "Eukaryotic large subunit ribosomal RNA", at positions 1 to 345 of the family's 3401-position model. Lineage: Eukaryota; Fungi; Basidiomycota; Agaricomycetes; Russulales; Russulaceae. The record is from RNAcentral.